AUAGUUUGAUCCUGGUUCAGGAUGAACGCUAGCGGCAGGCUUAACACAUGCAAGUCGAGGGGUAACAUUGUGCUUGCACAGAUGACGACCGGCGCACGGGUGCGUAACGCGUAUAGAACCUACCUUUUACAGAGGAAUAGCCUUUAGAAAUGAAGAUUAAUGCCUCAUAGUAUUGUAGACUGGCAUCAGUUUAUAAUUAAAGAUUUAUCGGUAAAAGAUGGCUAUGCAUCCUAUUAGUUAGUUGGUAAGGUAACGGCUUACCAAGACAGCGAUAGGUAGGGGUCCUGAGAGGGAGAUCCCCCACACUGGUACUGAGACACGGACCAGACUCCUACGGGAGGCAGCAGUGAGGAAUAUUGGACAAUGGAGGAGACUCUGAUCCAGCCAUGCCGCGUGUAGGAAGAAUGCCCUAUGGGUUGUAAACUACUUUUAUACAGGAAGAAACACUGGUAUGUAUACCAGCUUGACGGUACUGUAAGAAUAAGGACCGGCUAACUCCGUGCCAGCAGCCGCGGUAAUACGGAGGGUCCGAGCGUUAUCCGGAAUCAUUGGGUUUAAAGGGUCCGCAGGCGGUCGAUUAAGUCAGAGGUGAAAUCCCAUAGCUCAACUAUGGAACUGCCUUUGAUACUGGUUGACUUGAGUCAUAUGGAAGUAGAUAGAAUGUGUAGUGUAGCGGUGAAAUGCCUAG
Molecule: ribosomal RNA, 688 nt
Filed under: uncultured bacterium
Lineage: Bacteria
Description: bacterial SSU rRNA
Rfam family: Bacterial small subunit ribosomal RNA
Source: RNAcentral